AUGGGUGUGUCCCCAGAAGGGAGGAGGCUCCGUGAGGAGGUGGGCAGCGAGGUUGCUCACCUUCAGUCGGGGACCCCGACGAUGGCCGGUGGGAUCAUCGGGGACCCUGGCGGCGGCGGGCGCGACCUAAUUACAGGAGGCGUCGCUUGGUAUAAUCCACGGCCGGCGGCGGCGCCCAGGACCAAGGUGGAUCGGGCCAGAGGUGGUGUUACAUGGCGGCGGUUAGAAGAAGGUGGGGCGAUUGUGGGGGCCUGGUGUGGCGGCAGGAGGAACGUGGUGGGUGGUGGCGGGGAGUGA
This 297-nucleotide ribosomal RNA is filed under the name Triticum aestivum (bread wheat). Its description in RNAcentral is "partial small subunit ribosomal RNA". Lineage: Eukaryota; Viridiplantae; Streptophyta; Magnoliopsida; Poales; Poaceae. The record is from RNAcentral.